Molecule: ribosomal RNA, 448 nt
Filed under: uncultured bacterium
Lineage: Bacteria
Description: bacterial SSU rRNA
Rfam family: Bacterial small subunit ribosomal RNA
Source: RNAcentral
UUCCAGACUCCUACGGGAGGCAGCAGUGGGGAAUAUUGCACAAUGGGGGAAACCCUGAUGCAGCGACGCCGCGUGAGCGAUGAAGUAUUUCGGUAUGUAAAGCUCUAUCAGCAGGGAAGAAGAUGACGGUACCUGACUAAGAAGCCCCGGCUAACUACGUGCCAGCAGCCGCGGUAAUACGUAGGGGGCAAGCGUUAUCCGGAUUUACUGGGUGUAAAGGGAGCGUAGACGGCGAUGCAAGCCAGAUGUGAAAGCCCGGGGCUCAACCCCGGGACUGCAUUUGGAACUGUGUGGCUGGAGUGUCGGAGAGGCAGGCGGAAUUCCUAGUGUAGCGGUGAAAUGCGUAGAUAUUAGGAGGAACACCAGUGGCGAAGGCGGCCUGCUGGACGAUGACUGACGUUGAGGCUCGAAAGCGUGGGGAGCAAACAGGAUUAGAUACCCCUGUAGU